Molecule: ribosomal RNA, 770 nt
Filed under: uncultured bacterium
Lineage: Bacteria
Description: bacterial SSU rRNA
Rfam family: Bacterial small subunit ribosomal RNA
Source: RNAcentral
UCGCGGCCCAUUAUGCUUGUUGGUGAGGUAACGGCCCACCAAGGCGAUGAUGGGUAUCCGGCCUGAGAGGGUGAACGGACACAUUGGGACUGAGAUACGGCCCAGACUUCUACGGGAGGCAGCAGUUAAGAAUAUUCCGCAAUGGACGAAAGUCUGACGGAGCGACGCCGCGUGGAUGAAGAAUGCCGAAAGGUUGUAAAAUCCUUUUAAGCCUGAUGAAUAAGCACAAUAGGGAAUGAUUGUGCGGUGACCGUAGGGCUUGAAUAAGCACCGGCUAAUUACGUGCCAGCAGCCGCGGUAACACGUAAGGUGCGAGCGUUGUUCGGAAUUAUUGGGCGUAAAGGGCAUGUAGGCGGAUAGGCAAGCUUGGUGUGAAAUGUUACAGCUUAACUGUGAGACAGCAUUGAGAACUGCCGAUCUUGAAUUACUGAAGGGUAACCAGAAUUCCACGUGUAGGGGUGAAAUCUGUAGAUAUGUGGAAGAAUACCAAUGGCGAAGGCAGGUUACCGGCAGAUAAUUGACGCUGAGGUGCGAAAGUGCGGGGAGCAAACAGGAUUAGAUACCCUGGUAGUCCGCACCGUAAACGAUGUACACUAGGUGUCUGGCAUAACAGCUGGGUGCCAAAGCAAACGUGAUAAGUGUACCGCCUGGGGAGUAUGCCCGCAAGGGUGAAACUCAAAGGAAUUGACGGGGGCCCGCACAAGCGGUGGAGCAUGUGGUUUAAUUCGAUGGUACGCGAGGAACCUUACCUGGGUUUGACAUAGUAUCUG